UAGCCAUAUCAUGUUGAAACUCCAGUUCCCAUGCAAUCACCAAAGUUAAGCAGCAUCAAGCCUGUUCAGUAUCUAGAUGGGUGAUUACUUGGGAAUAUCAGGUGCUGCAAGC
Molecule: non-coding RNA, 112 nt
Organism: Acanthosepion pharaonis
Lineage: Eukaryota; Metazoa; Mollusca; Cephalopoda; Sepiida; Sepiidae
Source: the annotation of a GenBank genome assembly